AAGCGGUGGAGCAUGUGGUUUAAUUCGAAGCAACGCGAAGAACCUUACCAGGUCUUGACAUCCCUGACACCCGAGAGAUCGGCGUCCCCUUCGGGGGACGAGGGUGACAGGUGGUGCAUGGUUGUCGUCAGCUCGUGUCGUGAGAUGUUGGGUUAAGUCCCGCAACGAGCGCAACCCUCGACCUUAGUUGCCAGCAUUCAGUUGGGCACUCUAAGGUGACUGCCGGCUAAAAGUCGGAGGAAGUGGGGAUGACGUCAAAUCAUCAUGCCCCUUAUGACCUGGGCUACACACGUGCUACAAUGGCCGGUACAAAGGGCAGCGACACAGCGAUGUGAAGCGAAUCCCGAAAAGCCGGUCUCAGUCCGGAUUGGAGUCUGCAACUCGACUCCAUGAAGUUGGAAUCGCUAGUAAUCGCGGAUCAGCACGCCGCGGUGAAUACGUUCCCGGGCCUU
RNAcentral lists this ribosomal RNA (452 nucleotides) under uncultured Anoxybacillus sp. RNAcentral describes it as "bacterial SSU rRNA". It matches the Rfam family "Bacterial small subunit ribosomal RNA", at positions 927 to 1382 of the family's 1533-position model. The record is from RNAcentral. Lineage: Bacteria; Bacillati; Bacillota; Bacilli; Caryophanales; Anoxybacillaceae.